GAUGAAGAACGCAGCAAAAUGCGAUAAGUAAUGUGAAUUGCAGAAUUCAGUGAAUCAUCGAAUCUUUGAACGCACAUUGCGCCCGCUGGUAUUCCGGCGGGCAUGCCUGUUCGAGCGUCAUUUCAACCCUCAAGCCCCCGGGUUUGGUGUUGGGGAUCGGCUCUGCCCUUCUGGGCGGUGCCGCCCCCGAAAUACAUUGGCGGUCUCGCUGCAGCCUCCAUUGCGUAGUAGCUAACACCUCGCAACUGGAACGCGGCGCGGCCAUGCCGUAAAACCCCAACUUCUGAAUGUUGACCUCGGAUCAGGUAGGAAUACCCGCUGAACUUAAGCAUAUCAAUAAGCGUAGGA
RNAcentral lists this unclassified non-coding RNA (348 nucleotides) under soil metagenome. RNAcentral's name for it is "partial contains 5.8S ribosomal RNA, internal transcribed spacer 2, and large subunit ribosomal RNA". The stretch from base 1 to 120 matches the Rfam family "5.8S ribosomal RNA", at positions 35 to 154 of the family's 154-position model. The record is from RNAcentral.